CCACCACUAAGCCAGUGGUGAACUCCACAUACGCAUCCUUUGCUGAGGAUACGGUUAACGGAGCGAAAGCGACGUUCAACCGCAAAAGAAGCAGAGGGGGCUUAGUGGUGGGGUGACUGCGUACCUUUUGUAUAAUGGGUCAGCGACUUAUAUUCUGUAGCAAGGUUAACCGAAUAGGGGAGCCGUAGGGAAACCGAGUCUUAACCGGGCGUUAAGUUGCAGGGUAUAGACCCGAAACCCGGUGAUCUAGCCAUGGGCAGGUUGAAGGUUGGGUAACACUAACUGGAGGACCGAACCGACUAAUGUUGAAAAAUUAGCGGAUGACCUGUGGCUGGGGGUGAAAGGCCAAUCAAACCGGGAGAUAGCUGGUUCUCCCCGAAAGCUAUUUAGGUAGCGCCUCGUGAAUUCAUCUCCGGGGGUAGAGCACUGUUUCGGCUAGGGGGCCAUCCCGGCUUACCAACCCGAUGCAAACUGCGAAUACCGGAGAAUGUUAUCACGGGAGACACACGGCGGGUGCUAACGUCCGUCGUGAAGAGGGAAACAACCCAGACCGCCAGCUAAGGUCCCAAAGUCAUGGUUAAGUGGGAAACGAUGUGGGAAGGCCCAGACAGCCAGGAUGUUGGCUUAGAAGCAGCCAUCAUUUAAAGAAAGCGUAAUAGCUCACUGGUCGAGUCGGCCUGCGCGGAAGAUGUAACGGGGCUAAACCAU
Molecule: ribosomal RNA, 708 nt
Filed under: Salmonella enterica subsp. enterica
Lineage: Bacteria; Pseudomonadati; Pseudomonadota; Gammaproteobacteria; Enterobacterales; Enterobacteriaceae
Also listed under: 1 other name
Description: partial 23S ribosomal RNA
Rfam family: Bacterial large subunit ribosomal RNA
Source: RNAcentral